RNAcentral lists this small RNA (285 nucleotides) under Pan troglodytes (chimpanzee). RNAcentral's name for it is "processed transcript". Lineage: Eukaryota; Metazoa; Chordata; Mammalia; Primates; Hominidae. The record is from RNAcentral.
ACGGGUAACGGAAGUGUGGCGGCCUUGGGUUGAGCGGGCUUUUUGGAAGUUUGUGGCGAAGUUCUGUGAUAUGAGCAACAAUGGACCAGAAGAUUUUAUCUCUAGCAGCAGAAAAAACAGCAGACAAACUGCAAGAAUUUCUUCAAACCCUGAGAGAAGUUGACUAAUCUCCUUCAGAAUCAAGCAGUGAAAGGAAAAGUUGCUGGAGCACUCCUGAGAGCCAUCUUCAAAGGUUCCCCCUGCUCUGAGGAAGCUGGAACACUUAGGAGACGUAAGAUAUACACU